UUGGAAAAUAUAAGGCACGGUUCUGCCGGUCCUGUGCUGGUGGUAACCACACGUCUUCCACGCAGAAAGAAACAACAGACACAGAGCUCUACUCCGUAGAGGAUUCGCCACCUCAGGAAGGAACCAGGGUGAGAACAUCCCAGAACAUUCCAGCUGGCUGUCUGCCUGUGUCUGGGCCUCGCUUGCUUUGUGUCUUUGAUCUUUCAGUGCCUUUUAGGAGGACAGCAUCGUGCCGUCUGCCAAGGGGGGACGAAGUUCAGAUUUUUUUUUAAUGAAUUUCAGCAACAGGAUAGAUUAAAAACAGACACAGAACUAAUGACUGUUCCUCUUAACUGUUUACCUAACUCCGUCCUCUCGUCGUUGCCUUGUUUGUCACACAAAAGAGAGAACCUGGCCCUGUUCCUCAGGAGCUCAUGGUGUUCGUUUAAGACAGGUGAAGUGGGAAGGCCUCCAGGGGAGGAGCACAGAGGGGUCUCAGCCCUGUGGUCUCGGGAAGUGACUGACACCUUCUGAGCCCCAGUUUCCUCUCGUCCUUGGAAUUAGGAUGACUGUACUGUACCCAGGCCUGCUGGGAGGAGCGAAACGAGGGGAUAUGGGUGGCAGCAGCUGAGGUUUGUGAGAAGUCAGUAACUUUCUCAGGUGACGUUGGAGCCCGUUGCCUUCCGAGUGCGGAGGGAAGGUGGUAGUGAAGAGCCAGACUGGGCCGACUGGAUUUUUCCCGUGGUGAAUCAGUGGAAAAGAGAGCUGCAUGGACAGAGAAGGGCCCUGGCCAGCCAGAACCGUCUGGAGUGUGUCCUGGCAUUGGUCGUGCGGGGAACCUUCGUGAAAGUCACGGCCUAACAGAUGAGGGCACCUGUGUAGCUCGGCUGGAAGUGGGGUGAGGCUGGGGGCUGGGGAGUAGGGGCGAGUGGCUGCAGUGAGGGAGGGGAGAGUGAGGGGAGGGGCAGGUGUGAGAGAGUGGCCACGGGGGACUCAAAACUGGGUUGCCCUGUGCUCUUUGUCAGCCCCUCCCCCCUCCCCCCUCCUGCCCCCAAGUCUUGCUCUCUGUCUUUGCCUUUCUCCUCCUGGUCCCUCGUUUUUUGUUUUCUUUUUAACUAUUCAUUUAUUUAUUUAUUUGGCUGCACCGGGUCUUAGUUGUGGCAUGUAGGAUCUUUAGUUGCGGCAUGUAGGAUCUUUUAGUUGCGGCAUGUAGGAUCUUUUAGUUGCGGCACGCGGGAUCUAGUUCCCUGGCCAGGGAUCGAACCCAGCCCCCUGCAUUGCAAGCGCAGAGUCUUACCCACUGGACCACCAGGGAAGUCCUCCUCUGGGUCCUUCUGUCUCCACGCCACCCCUACUCCCCACAUCCGCCCCGUGUGUCCUUCUACCACCCAGGUCAGUGCGUACGUGAGGCUCAGCCAAUGCUUCAGACAACGCAGCUGCUGCCCAGUGGGUGCUCCCUGGGUGCAGGGGGUCGGGCUGGCUCUGAUUGGGUCAUGAGCAGGUGGGGCCUCCCACCCUUUCUUUAGUCUGUGAGUGAGAACAGCUCCUGCUAGUUACACCUCACAGGAAGUUCGAGCCAAAGGGUAGCACCUGACAUCAGGUGCAGCACGGCUGGCUGGGUGAGAAGGGGAGGUGACACCUCUGGGCUGCUGAGGCCUGUGGCUCCUUCUACCCAGGGCCAAGGAAAUCAGGUCACCCUGCCCCCUUCCCUCUGCUAGAUGCGGAGGCACCGACCGCUGCCUCUGGGGCACCAAAGAAAUAUUCACGGACUAGCUGGCCAGGGCAAGGAACCUGGGUGAGGGUCUCAAACUGGUGGCCCACCGGGCCAUGCCCCCUGCAGAUGGUUUUUAUUGGCCCCCACGGGCCCUCUCACUCUAUUACACAUCUCCCUUGUACCCUCUCUACCUCUUGUAUUUGCCUUCCUUGUCUUGCCCCUGAGCUUAUGAAUUUACCAACCCCCCCUAAGAAGCACAAAGAUGCUCCAGGAGCUUCUGACAUGGCUGGGAAAAUAAGACAAACAUACAGGCCAAGAGGACUGAGGCUGCCAGACCCAGUGUGUGGGACAGCCGUCCUAUUUUUGGAGUUUAGACGAGAGAUCUCCCACGGAGGUCAUGAUAGAGGAACGUACAGAGGUGAGUUGCACACUGAGCCUCGCGGGAAGAGGAAUGUUGGUUUGGAGACUAGGGAGGAAUGUUCCAGGAAGGGGAAGGACAGGAGGGGACCGCCUGGAGAAGUUUCACCUGGCUGGGCUUCAUUCCACACACAGCAGGGGGCACCUCUGAGGUGUUUGCAUAAGGGAGCAAUGAUGAAGGCACAGAACAAUCUAAGGAAGGUAGCAGGGGCGGGGAUGGGGGUGGGAGCCGAAAAGAGGUACCCACUGGGGAGGAAGUUUGAAGGAUGUAAAGACUGGGCAGUGCGCAGGCUGAAGGAUCCAAGGACACUAAGCUUGAAGCUUCAGAGCAUCACAGAGACAAAGCUCUUGCAUCAUGGAGAUGGGGAAGUCUUGAGAAGGCAGCUGCCUGGGGCGGGGGUGAGAAGUUGAGAAAUUUCGGUUGAAAUGUGUUACAUUUGAUGGAAGAAUUAGGUAGCAGGCGUUUAGAACUGUGGACCCACAGAUGGAGGUGGUGAUUUAGGGCGGUAGUGGAUUAGAGCAAGAAUCCCAAGGGAGAUGUGGAAGGGAAAAGAAAGAGAAGAGAGAGAGAGAGGCAUUGGGGAAGAAGACAGGUGUGGAAUCGGAGAGGGAGAGCACACAGAUGUCAGCAGAGAGGACAACCUUAAGAAAGAGGUCCACUGACAUCAUCAAGUGCAGAGGAUUCAGGAAAAGCAGAGCAGAGCUAAGGCUGGGGUUUGGAGCCAGGGAGUGGUAGAGGUUUCAGCAGGUGGGGAGAAGACGGCCACAUAUUUCACAAUCAGAGAGACAGCACCGGUGGAGAAGAGGCUCCUGAUCUCAAGGAGCGCGUGGUGGAUACAAGUGAUGUCACCGACACCGACACCGGCUUGUGGUGCAGGAAGGUACAGCAUUCAUCUGCAGGGCGCCAAGCGGAGUACUGGAGACUUGUGCUCAAGAGACCUAAACUCCCCCCACCCCUUGGAUUUCACGGAAGGAUUCUGGAAGGCAACAUUUGGGAAAGAAAACUGGGAGGCAUCUGUGCAUAGUGGAUGAGACCACCAACUCCAGAAGCAUUUCAUCUUAACAGAUGGAGUGUCAGUACACGCAGUUCCUGAGUUUCCAGCAAGUUGCCUUUCUUCCGUGCUUUCCUGGUAAGAGCUGAGGAAGUUGGGCCUUGGGGAAAAUGGAGUCCUGGUUGAGGUCUCCGGAGAGGCCUUUCUGAAGACGUGUCCAGGAACAACGGGCU
Molecule: non-coding RNA, 3335 nt
Organism: Kogia breviceps (pygmy sperm whale)
Lineage: Eukaryota; Metazoa; Chordata; Mammalia; Artiodactyla; Physeteridae
Source: RefSeq, a predicted model, not a curated record